This 396-nucleotide unclassified non-coding RNA is filed under the name Zea mays. RNAcentral describes it as "misc RNA Zm00001eb132490". The record is from RNAcentral. Lineage: Eukaryota; Viridiplantae; Streptophyta; Magnoliopsida; Poales; Poaceae.
CUGAGCACCAGCAGGGACCUGCGCGCCCGACGAGCAGAGCAGGGGCGCGGCUGCGCGCAAGCGGACAGAGGGAGGGACGACCAGCGUGCAGGGGAGUUCGACAGCGGCCGCCAUGGCGCGCAAGGAGGGCGAACUCCAGGGAGGGCGGCCAAGGGAGACUUCACGCCAUGGGAGAGAGCAGAGAGAAACGGGCUGAGGGAGGAGCGAGCAGGGAGGGAGCGCGCGCAGGGAGAGAAAUCCAGCGCCAGGGAAGAGCUCGCAACAGGGACACGGCGAGCAGGGAGGGACACCGCGGCCAUGGAGAUGCACUGCGAGGGAGAAAAGCAGGGGCGCGCAGGAGCAGAGGACCGCGCACUAGUGAGGGCUGGAGAUAGGGAAGGCAUCGACAAACUCUAG